CACAGGUCACCUCCCCAACCAGACUGGCCACCCAGGUGCCACCCCGAAGCUAAAACAAUAAAAUUCAAUCAAAUAGCCAAUGUACGAUUAUGUUUUCAUCGUGAAACUCGGAUGUCCGAGUGUAAGUGAAUGCAGCAUUGGCUUCUGCACUAUGAGCAUCAGGGUAGCAAAGGAAGGAGAACCAAGCACGAAAGAGACACCGCGGAAAAUAAUUUUUCAGCGAAAGAAAAUGAGGAGAGAAUAAAUGUCCCAAGCCAACCAGUAGAGAUAAAAGAACAGGAAGAAUGAAAAGAUUUCUUCCUUAAGAAGGCUAAAAUACACCCAGAAGCAGAGAACAAUGUCCGCAGUCAUCAUUGUCACCUGUGAGUUCUACAAAUGAAGGUGUGUGAGAGAGAACGAACAAGGAAAAUGCAAGGAAGGGAUGUUCAACCGAUCCAUAGGGGACAAAUCCUAAUAUUUGUAUUGUGCACCUGUUCAUGAUCCACCAGAUAACCAGGAUGCGGUGCCUUUUGAAACAUCGUGUACGACACCGGGCCAUCCACAUGGUCUCCUCCAGCUCAUUGAUCACAGUCUGGACUUUGUCGCUGAACGCCCUCAGAGAGGCGACGCCUUCGCGCAGCUGG
This is a long non-coding RNA of Maylandia zebra (zebra mbuna), 623 nucleotides long. RefSeq lists it as uncharacterized. The record is from RefSeq and is a predicted model, not a curated record. Lineage: Eukaryota; Metazoa; Chordata; Actinopteri; Cichliformes; Cichlidae.